UCGGAACGAGNAUACGAUAUAUAUUGAACCGCAUGGUUCAAUAGUGAAAGACGGUUUUGCUGUCACUUAUAGAUGGAUCCGCGCCGCAUUAGCUAGUUGGUAAGGUAACGGCUUACCAAGGCAGCGAUGCGUAGCCGACCUGAGAGGGUGAUCGGCCACACUGGAACUGAGACACGGUCCAGACUCCUACGGGAGGCAGCAGCG
Molecule: ribosomal RNA, 204 nt
Filed under: uncultured Staphylococcus sp.
Lineage: Bacteria; Bacillati; Bacillota; Bacilli; Caryophanales; Staphylococcaceae
Description: partial 16S ribosomal RNA
Rfam family: Bacterial small subunit ribosomal RNA
Source: RNAcentral